This 1197-nucleotide long non-coding RNA is filed under the name Linum usitatissimum (flax). RNAcentral describes it as "long non-coding RNA (LUSI_LNC004282)". Lineage: Eukaryota; Viridiplantae; Streptophyta; Magnoliopsida; Malpighiales; Linaceae. The record is from RNAcentral.
UUAGCUGUUUAAUCAUUGUCCAAAUGGUUUCUCAUUUUUCAUAUAUGAUAAUAUAAAACACUAAUAUUCUAAAAAAGUCUAACCUAUUCAAAAAAAUUAAAAAUGAUAUGAUCAGUUAAAAAUAUAUUUUUUAACAUAAAUUUCAAAUCUCUGUUAUUUCUGUUAAACUUUGUUUGUUGANNNNNNNNAAAUAAACACAAAAAACUAAUAUAAAAAUUAAAAAUUAUAAAAAUAUAAACGUGUCAUUAAAAUGAUUAUAAUUAAAAGUUCAAAAAACAAAAAUAAAAAUUAUCUUAUUUUCCAUAACUUCCUCCUCCAUUUGAUCAUCCCACCGACCCACCUCUCUGCUUCCUCCUCUCAGCUUCUCUUGUCAUUCACAUCCCCUUUUUUUUUCCUCUCGAGUCUCAUAUAUCUCUUUUCUUCGCUAUUUCCCCUCCUCUCUCUUCCUCCUCCUACCUGCUUUUUUCGUUCCACCAUCUCCCCUUUCUUCCCUCUUGCUUAGUUCUUCUCACCUUUUUUGAUUCUCCACCUACAUCCUUUCUUGUUAGAUCUUUCUUUUUUUUUAGAUCCUUCUUUUUUUUUCUUUAGAUAUAUAUCUAUUGAACAACUUAUUUAGAUUUUGAGAUAAUUAAGAAUUAAUCUUCCAUCAUCAAAUAUCCCGCGGGAUCGCAUAUCACAACACCGAUACAGCCAAAGUUGAGCUUCGACAACCAUUAACCCUCUCCUUGCUAACCAAACCCUUCAAAUACAACCUAAAACACUGCUUUCACUAGUCCAACUACUCCUGGCAGUGGUUCUAGAGGAUUCUUCCCCAAACGGCCUUUGGAAGUCAUUCCCCAGUCAAGAAAUGACAUCAUCGAAGAUUGGGUGAGGUCGGGAGAGAGAACCGUUGCGAGCAAGGAAGACGGAAGAGUUUAUGGCUUUUGGAGACAGGGACAAAGGCGAUUCUAAUUUUUAUUUUUUAUUUUUUUAGUUUUUUAAUUAAAAUAUUAUUAUAAUAUGAUGUGGAGAUAAGUCCGUAGAUAUCUCAAAAUUUGACUGUUAAGUUGACAAUAUGAUAUGAAGAUAAGUCGGUAGACAUCUCAAUAUUGUUAAAUUUGACUGUUAAGUUAACGAUCAAACACAAUGUUGACCAACUUUUAUUAAGAUUGACAAAAAUUCGUGCUAUAAAAAGUUAAUGUUUCAAGAAGGCUCAAA